This 414-nucleotide ribosomal RNA is filed under the name Triticum aestivum (bread wheat). RNAcentral's name for it is "partial small subunit ribosomal RNA". Lineage: Eukaryota; Viridiplantae; Streptophyta; Magnoliopsida; Poales; Poaceae. The record is from RNAcentral.
AUGGUGUUGCUUGACAUUAGGGGUAUGUUGCAGUCUAUGGGUAAAGACAUUACUGAUUUCGCUCUUCUAACGAUCGAUGAUGCGUUUGACCCAAACGAGGGCGAGGCCAGAGAGAUCAUCGAGGAAUCAACUGUUGAGUUUGACGAAAGUGACACUAAAUUGUCAUCUUCCCUAAAUUUUGAGCAAAGGGCUGCAUACGACGAAAUACUAGCGGCUGUUGAACGCGGUGAUGGGGGUAUAUUCUUUGUUGAUGGCCCUGGAGGUACGGGGAAGACCUUCCUCUACAGGGCGAUGCUAGCCAAGGUGAGGCGCGAGGGCAAGAUUGCUAUCGCUACCGCGACGUCGGGUGUCGCUGCUUCUAUCAUGCCUGGCGGCAGGACUGCCCACUCAAGGUUCAAAAUCCCACUGAGUUGA